RNAcentral lists this ribosomal RNA (372 nucleotides) under uncultured organism. RNAcentral's name for it is "partial 16S ribosomal RNA". It matches the Rfam family "Bacterial small subunit ribosomal RNA", at positions 527 to 896 of the family's 1533-position model. The record is from RNAcentral.
GUAGGUAGCAAGCGUUGUCCGGAAUUAUUGGGCGUAAAGCGCGCGCAGGCGGUUCUUUAAGUCUGAUGUGAAAGCCCACGGCUCAACCGUGGAGGGUCAUUGGAAACUGGAGAACUUGAGUACAGAAGAGGAAAGCGGAAUUCCACGUGUAGCGGUGAAAUGCGUAGAGAUGUGGAGGAACACCAGUGGCGAAGGCGGCUUUCUGGUCUGUAACUGACGCUGAGGCGCGAAAGCGUGGGGGAGCAAACAGGAUUAGAUACCCUGGUAGUCCACGCCGUAAACGAUGAGUGCUAAGUGUUAGGGGGUUUCCGCCCCUUAGUGCUGCAGCCAACGCAUUAAGCACUCCGCCCUGGGAGUACGGCCGCAAGGCUG